AAGCGUUAAUCGGAAUUACUGGGCGUAAAGCGCACGCAGGCGGUUUGUUAAGUCAGAUGUGAAAUCCCCGGGCUCAACUUGGGAACUGCAUCUGAUACUGGCAAGCUUGAGUCUCGUAGAGGGGGGUAGAAUUCCAGGUGUAGCGGUGAAAUGCGUAGAGAUCUGGAGGAAUACCGGUGGCGAAGGCGGCCCCCUGGACGAAGACUGACGCUCAGGUGCGAAAGCGUGGGGAGCAAACAGGAUUAGAUACCCUGGUAGUCCACGCCGUAAACGAUGUCGACUUGGAGGUUGUGCCCUUGAGGCGUGGCUUCCGGAGCUAACGCGUUAAGUCGACCGCCUGGGGAGUACGGCCGCAAGGUUAAAACUCAAAUGAAUUGACGGGGGCCCGCACAAGCGGUGGAGCAUGUGGUUUAAUUCGAU
This 420-nucleotide ribosomal RNA is filed under the name Shigella sp. RNAcentral's name for it is "bacterial SSU rRNA". It matches the Rfam family "Bacterial small subunit ribosomal RNA", at positions 536 to 955 of the family's 1533-position model. The record is from RNAcentral. Lineage: Bacteria; Pseudomonadati; Pseudomonadota; Gammaproteobacteria; Enterobacterales; Enterobacteriaceae.